Molecule: non-coding RNA, 207 nt
Filed under: Thomasclavelia spiroformis
Lineage: Bacteria; Bacillati; Bacillota; Erysipelotrichia; Erysipelotrichales; Coprobacillaceae
Description: Clostridium spiroforme T-box sequence
Rfam family: T-box leader
About the family: Uncharged tRNA acts as the effector for transcription antitermination of genes in the T-box leader family.
Source: RNAcentral
GGAAACUCAUUGAUAAAGAGAGUAGUUUGAUGGCGUUUUUUAGCGAGCUGAUGGUGGUGGAAGAUCAGUAAACAAAAUUAGACGAACCGCACUUUGUAGAGGAUUGCUUGAAUAUAGUAGGGCAGUAAGUAAGUCUACUUUACAGACAAGAGGGGAUAUAAAUCUUUAUAUCAAUAAGAGUGGUACCGCGGAUAAUUCGUCUCUUGG